This 460-nucleotide ribosomal RNA is filed under the name uncultured bacterium. RNAcentral's name for it is "partial 16S ribosomal RNA". It matches the Rfam family "Bacterial small subunit ribosomal RNA", at positions 338 to 795 of the family's 1533-position model. The record is from RNAcentral.
CCUACGGGCGGCAGCAGUGAGGAAUAUUGGUCAAUGGACGCAACUCUGAACCAGCCAUGCAGCGUGCAGGAUGACGGCUCUAUGAGUUGUAAACUGCUUUUGUACGAGGAUAAUAGGUCUUACGUGUAGGGAUUUGAAGGUAUCGUACGAAUAAGGAUCGGCUAAUUCCGUGCCAGCAGCCGCGGUAAUACGGAGGAUUCGAGCGUUAUCCGGAUUUAUUGGGUUUAAAGGGUGCGUAGGCUGUCGGAUAAGUUAGAGGUCAAAUGUCGGGGCUUAACCCCGGGACUGCAGCGGAUACUGGGCGACUAGAGAGCGGAUGAAGCAGGCGGAAUGAGUAGUGUAGCGGUGAAAUGCUUAGAGAUUACGCAGAACACCGAUUGCGCAGGCAGCUUGCUAAUCCGCAUCUGACGCUGAUGCUCGAAAGCGUGGGUAGCGAACAGGAUUAGAUACCCUGGUAGUC